GAGGAGUCUCCGGGUGCUGGUCAGCCUUGCUGACCAGAGAAUCGGGAAGGCGGUGCCAAUCCGCCACGUGCCCAGCGCUGUAAGGAGGACGUUCGCCGCAGAAGGCCACUGGUAGGGGAAACCCCGGCCGGGAAGGCGCGGCAACGGUUGAGUCCGAGUCAGAAGACCGGCCAGGAGACGCAAUACGGC
RNAcentral lists this non-coding RNA (189 nucleotides) under Candidatus Accumulibacter. The record is from RNAcentral. Lineage: Bacteria; Pseudomonadati; Pseudomonadota; Betaproteobacteria.